This 700-nucleotide ribosomal RNA is filed under the name uncultured bacterium. RNAcentral describes it as "bacterial SSU rRNA". It matches the Rfam family "Bacterial small subunit ribosomal RNA", at positions 94 to 829 of the family's 1533-position model. The record is from RNAcentral.
AGUGGCAGACGGGUGAGGAACACGUGGGAAUAUCCCCUUCAGUUCGGAAUAACUCAGGGAAACUUGAGCUAAUACCGGAUACGUCAGAGAUGAGAAAGAUUUAUCGCUGAAGGAUUAGCCCGCGUCUGAUUAGCUAGUUGGUGAGGUAAUGGCUCACCAAGGCGACGAUCAGUAGCUGGUCUGGGAGGAUGAUCAGCCACAUUGGGACUGAGACACGGCCCAAACUCCUACGGGAGGCAGCAGUGGGGAAUAUUGGACAAUGGGCGAGAGCCUGAUCCAGCCAUGCCGCGUGAGUGAUGAAGGCCUUCGGGUUGUAAAGCUCUUUUGUCCGGGAAGAUAAUGACUGUACCGGAAGAAUAAGCCCCGGCAAACUUCGUGCCAGCAGCCGCGGUAAUACGAAGGGGGCUAGCGUUGUUCGGAAUCACUGGGCGUAAAGCGCACGUAGGCGGCUUGUUAAGUCAGGGGUGAAAGCCUGGAGCUCAACUCCAGAACUGCCCUUGAUACUGGCAAGCUUGAGUGUGGAAGAGGUUGGUGGAACUCCGAGUGUAGAGGUGAAAUUCGUAGAUAUUCGGAAGAACACCAGUGGCGAAGGCGGCCAACUGGUCCAUUACUGACGCUGAGGUGCGAAAGCGUGGGGAGCAAACAGGAUUAGAUACCCUGGUAGUCCACGCCGUAAACGAUGGAUGCUAGCCGUCAGGGA